UAAAUAUCCUAAUCAAAUGUGUGGGUCGAAGCUGCAGUGCCACUCCUCAUCCUCCAAAUCUGAAGACAAUAGUGGACUGGAAGAGUAACUUGUCAAACCGCUGGACAACAGGUCAUGCAGGAAUGACACCUUCCACAGCACAUAAACAAAGUAACUCUUGUCCAGUGUGUAGGAUUUAGUGGCAUCUAGUGGUGGAACUACUGAUUGCAACACUGUCACCUCACCUUCCUGUUCCAAGCAUGUAGGAGAAACUAUGGUGGCCGUGAAACUCGAGGAAAACGCAAAAGGCCCUGCCUAAACCCAGUGUUUGGUUUGUCCGUUCUGGGAUACUGGAGAAACAUGGCAGCCUCUGUCCUCCUAAAUGUUGCAGGCUGGACCUUUAAAUCCCACUGAGACCAGGCACGGAGCCGAUGUCUCAUUGCAGACGGGGCAGGCACCUUUCGUGGGCCCUUAAUAUAUAGGCUGGGGGAUGGGAUGGAAGGGGUCCUAUUCACCACCACAGACAGUGCCAUGGAUUUAUCAUUAAACAGAAACCUGCUGAGACUGAAGCAUUACAACUUCUGAUAGGCUGUUUCAGAGCCAUGAUCAGAUAAAGGAUAAAAAAGAUAAGGUUGACUGAACUAGCAAGCGUUCAGAUUUUGAUAUUCAGUGAUGGUAGAUGCUCACACAGCCACACAGCUAUAUAGCCUACACAAUACAGCCACAUAAUCAACCCACACACGGCAACAGAAGGGUGCAAGCAAUGUGUGUCAUGCCAUUACUGCAAUAACCAAACAGACACAGCGGUGCAGAAGCAACUCUACUUUUGGACAGAGAGUCAAAAACACCAGAUAUCCAGCAUCUAUGACAGGCCUGUCAUCACAAAUACUGAAUAUGAAACAACUUACUACGUAUGCUUUCACUCAGCAGCUGUCAGUUCAAAUCCAAUCCAGCAAAAAUCACAUGAAUCCACUGUAGUCUGUAUGAAAGGUCUAAAACAGUCCAACACGCUUGAACACGACAAACUCGAUGUGUUUCACCAUCAUCAUCUUCAUCAUCACUAUUGCUUUCAGCUACCUGCAGGGAGCUAGCUGCUGCUCCUUGCUAACAUUUCCACCUGUUUGUCUAACAGCUAACAGCAGGACUCUGUCGGACGUGGAGGGUUGAGUUGUUGAGUGAGAAGAAGUUUGAAAGCGGAAAACAUGAGUCAACAAGAUUCUACCUCUGCUCUCUGGCUUUGUUUUAAUACUUAUAUUGUUACGAAGAACAGCGAGGUAAACAGAGAUAGAGCAGAUAGACUACCAGCGUUUAAAUCUCCCGGUGCUGUGCUCAUCCAACGCAACGUGACUGGCGGGGGCCCUGUUAAGGGGGUACUAAAGGGGCGGAAUCAGCAACAGUACAAAUAGGCCCACAUUACAACCGCUGGUGCUGGCUGCUGCGUACAGUCGAGAACCCCUUGGCAGUAGUGAGGACUCGUCUCUGCUCUGCAAAAGACAGACUGAGUCUGACUUUUUAUUUUUCAAUCAAAACACACGAACAAACUUCAUUCAGCUAAACAACAAAAAAGCAUGUUUAGUCAGGCAGAUUGGGCCAAAGGUGGGCCCCUAGAGAACUAUGGGCCCCCUCUCGCUCCGCUGCAGACUUUUCUUUAAUAUGAAUGUCAAAGAGUGAAACAGAGGCAGAGACAAAUGAUGACGUCACAUAGAAGCUGUGAAUAGUUACAAGAUGAGUGUGGUUGGAUGGAUACUCUGUGACGGGUGGCCAGUGAUGCCGGUAACGCGUUACUUAGUAACACCCUCACUUUUUUCCGUAACGAGUAAUCUAACGCGUUACUAUUUCCAAACCGGUAAUCAGAUUAAAGUUACUUAUCCAAGUCACUGUGCGUUACUAUGUUUGUAAUUUUCCUUAUAUUUUCCUUAAUAUACUUGCUUUCUUCUUGCGUCUCUGGGAGUGAAGUCACGUAGCCUACGCGACAAGUCACGUUUUCAGCAUGAGGACAGUUCACGUGUAGGCUACGCAGACACAAACAUAAACAACAAUGGAGGGAGGAGAGAGAUAGGCGUUUGCUAGCUGGAAAUACAGUCACUAUUUUGAGUUUGUGUCAGCUAAAGAUGGCACUAUUAAGGUUUGUUGUACACUCUGUGCUGGUGGCGACAAAGUGCUAUCUAGCUACAAAAACACUACGUCAAAUUUGAAGAAACAUUUGGAGUCGCAGCACUGCACAGUCAGAGCAAGUCCCACCAGGUGGUACAAAGCAGAGAGCACCCAAACAACAAAAGCUGGACUUCGGUUCAAAACCAGUAAGUGGGGGAGAAUUGAAGAUGUUGCUCGGGCAGUAUGUUGUAGACUUAAAAUGUCAGGAGAUACAUUGUUGACGUUACUGUUAAAAAUGCACUUCCAAUAAAGUGAGUGUUG
Molecule: long non-coding RNA, 2394 nt
Organism: Dicentrarchus labrax (European seabass)
Lineage: Eukaryota; Metazoa; Chordata; Actinopteri; Moronidae
Exons: 3
Source: RefSeq, a predicted model, not a curated record